AUGGCGCUUCUCAAGGAUCCCAGAGCUCUCUUCCUGGCGGCCAUUGUUGUUACCGCCAUGGCCAUGCCAUCAUGCUAUGCUGCACAAGGUGCAGAGGAGUGCACCCGGAUCCUGCCGUGCACAGACAGUGCGUGCUACAUCCACUGCCAGAAGCUGGGGUACAAGGACCCCAAGACGCGCUGUGAGCGUAGCCCUCCCACUAAAGGCCAGUUCUACGAUACGUGCUGCUGUCUAAAACCGUAG
Molecule: ribosomal RNA, 243 nt
Filed under: Triticum aestivum (bread wheat)
Lineage: Eukaryota; Viridiplantae; Streptophyta; Magnoliopsida; Poales; Poaceae
Description: partial small subunit ribosomal RNA
Source: RNAcentral